This is a non-coding RNA of Oncorhynchus mykiss (rainbow trout), 457 nucleotides long. NCBI's taxonomy places the organism in Eukaryota, Metazoa, Chordata, Actinopteri, Salmoniformes, Salmonidae. The record is from RefSeq and is a predicted model, not a curated record.
AGGAGAAGGCAAGUGGUGAUCACUAAGCAUCUAAAGGAGGACGUGCAGGGAUGAGACCCAUGGACCACAGCGUGCUGAAAUGUUGUCUCUUCUCUCUACUCUUGCUAACAGUGUCUGCAGCAGACCCUCCAUCCAAUGCAGCCAUUUUAGCUAGUGAAAUGACUCCAGGCAAUGCAUCCAAUACAGCCAAUGCAGGCCAAGCACCCAAUACAGCCAACACAGCCAGUACAAACCAACCAUCCAACACAGCCAGUACAAACCAACCAUUCAACACAGCCAGUACAAACCAACCAUCCAACACAGCCACUUCAUCCAGGGCAACGACACCCUCCUGUACAACACGUCGAUGUCUGGCCAGCAUGCUGAUUGCGAAAGAAGCUCUGAGUCAGCCACAGUCUCCAUCAUGCAUCUCAAAUAUCAGUGUGCCGUUAAUAGUGUAUGAAACUCUGUCUGUCGU